This 446-nucleotide ribosomal RNA is filed under the name uncultured bacterium. Its description in RNAcentral is "bacterial SSU rRNA". It matches the Rfam family "Bacterial small subunit ribosomal RNA", at positions 329 to 792 of the family's 1533-position model. The record is from RNAcentral.
GACCAGACUCCUACGGGAGGCAGCAGUGGGGAAUAUUGCACAAUGGGGGAAACCCUGAUGCAGCGACGCCGCGUGAGUGAAGAAGUAAUUCGUUAUGUAAAGCUCUAUCAGCAGGGAAGAAAAUGACGGUACCUGAGUAAGAAGCCCCGGCUAACUACGUGCCAGCAGCCGCGGUAAUACGUAGGGGGCAAGCGUUAUCCGGAUUUACUGGGUGUAAAGGGAGCGUAGACGGCAGUGCAAGUCUGAUGUGAAAGGCCGGGGCCCAACCCCGGGACUGCAUUGGAAACUGCGAGGCUGGAGUGUCGGAGAGGCAGGCGGAAUUCCUAGUGUAGCGGUGAAAUGCGUAGAUAUUAGGAGGAACACCAGUGGCGAAGGCGGCCUGCUGGACGAUGACUGACGCUGAGGCUCGAAAGCGUGGGGAGCAAACAGGAUUAGAUACCCUCGUA